Molecule: ribosomal RNA, 247 nt
Filed under: Glomus sp. Aj2
Lineage: Eukaryota; Fungi; Glomeromycota; Glomeromycetes; Glomerales; Glomeraceae
Description: partial large subunit ribosomal RNA
Rfam family: Eukaryotic large subunit ribosomal RNA
Source: RNAcentral
GGCGAGAGACGAUAGCGAACAAGUACCGUGAGGGAAAGAUGAAAAGAACUUUGAAAAGAGAGUNAAACAGUACGUGAAAUUGUUGAAAGGGAAACGAUUGAAGCCAGUCGUACCUACGGGUAAUCAGCCCUUCGGGUGUGAUCNUGUGGGNCGUGAUGAGUCAAACNCCGGCCUCCCCGCNUGCNCGUCNCUUCGGGUGUGGUGGCCCGUGUGNUAGUGUACGCCNACUUCGGUGGNCAUUACNUGG